GCCUGACUGGCUCAGGGGGUAGAGCAUGAGACUCUUAAUCUUGGGGUUGUGAGUUCAAGCCCCACACUGGGUA
Molecule: transfer RNA, 73 nt
Filed under: Ailuropoda melanoleuca (giant panda)
Lineage: Eukaryota; Metazoa; Chordata; Mammalia; Carnivora; Ursidae
Rfam family: tRNA
About the family: Transfer RNA (tRNA) molecules are approximately 80 nucleotides in length. Their secondary structure includes four short double-helical elements and three loops (D, anti-codon, and T loops).
Source: Rfam by way of RNAcentral